GAGGAGGUUCCCAAUCGCAUACUGCUCAGCCAAUGAACGUUUGUCUAUUCAGCACGAACUCUGUCGACAACUGGCCCCCACGUCACGAGUGUCAUGCUUGGUCUCUGGGCCAGGUUCGGAUCCUUGAAUUUUCCAGAGGCUUGUCUAGCAAGCUCAUUACAACAGCUCUUUCCAACCCUUGUCCCUAGAGAUUCAAACUCGUAGGAUGGGACAAAUCUAAGAGCUCACAGGGGCAGCCAAGCUGACGUUGGAACUGUGCACAUAUGGGGAAGCCUUGUUCCUGUGCAACAGCUGGAAACACUUGACAUCUGUGAACCGGGUCUUGAGGAAAGAAGCAAAAAGCAAUACAGAGAAGCGAAACAGUGUCUGACAGACUGAAAAAGCAGACAUGCGGCCAAGCUCUUGAAAAUUAAUGAGAAAGGAGGAAAGAAUCAAUGUACAUUCUGCUUGCGGGGAACUGACACAAAAAGACACAAUAAACCUGGAACAAACACAGUCAGUUUAAAAAAUAGGUUAGAAAGAGUGGGCAAAUUCAAUUAUAGAAGUAAUUAGAAGAUCCAGGGCAGGCUGCCUUUGGGACUGUGCCAGCAAACAUGAAUUAAUAUGAGUGAAUAGAGAGCGCAUGUAGUAAUUAAGAAGCAAUCACCUAUAGCAAUGAGUACCUGAAAACAGCCCUAAAACCAUUAAUUCAGUGAUCAAAAAUAUUUUUAGAUGAUUAAUAUGGCAAAUUUAUUUUAAAAGACUAAUUUCUGGAAAGAUAUCAAGACAAUGGCAAACCAUUUGUUCCUCUGGCAUUUAUAUAGCUAAUUAAAUUUUAUAAUUUGCAACAACAGUCAUUAUUAUCUGAAAACAGUAAAGGCAAUAUCCCCCCCCCUUUUAGGUGUAGUUCUAAAAUCAAUAAGUUAAACUCGGCUCCCACUGGCCUUCUGCAAGUGGCUAAGCCUUGAUUAUUAUAUUAUUUCAAUGCGCAUUUUUCUUAUAGGACUGCGUCUCAUAAAUGUUAAACGUUUGAAAGAACAGGCAUAUUCUCAAAAAGGUUUUACAUGCUCCUAUACCCGGGAAGGAAUUCCACACACUGUUUAAUUUCAA
Molecule: long non-coding RNA, 1089 nt
Organism: Mesocricetus auratus (golden hamster)
Lineage: Eukaryota; Metazoa; Chordata; Mammalia; Rodentia; Cricetidae
Exons: 3
Source: RefSeq, a predicted model, not a curated record